RNAcentral lists this ribosomal RNA (493 nucleotides) under uncultured bacterium. RNAcentral's name for it is "partial 16S ribosomal RNA". It matches the Rfam family "Bacterial small subunit ribosomal RNA", at positions 30 to 523 of the family's 1533-position model. The record is from RNAcentral.
AUUGAACGCUGGCGGCAUGCCUUACACAUGCAAGUCGAACGGUAACAGGUUAAGCUGACGAGUGGCGAACGGGUGAGUAAUAUAUCGGAACGUGCCCAGUCGUGGGGGAUAACGUAGCGAAAGCUACGCUAAUACCGCAUACGAUCUACGGAUGAAAGCGGGGGAUCGCAAGACCUCGCGCGAUUGGAGGGGCCGAUAUCAGAUUAGGUUGUUGGUGAGGUAAAAGAUCACCAAGCCUGCGAUCUGUAGCUGGUCUGAGAGGACGACCAGCCCCACUGGCACUGAGACACGGUCCAGACUCAUACGGGAGGCAGCAGUGGGGAAUUUUGGACAAGGUACACAAGUCUGAUCCAGCAAUGCCGCGUGCACGACGAAGGCCUUCGGGUUGUAAACUGCUUUUGUACGGAACGAAACGGUGAGCUCUAAUACAGUUUGCUAAUGACGGUACCGUAAGAAUAAGCACCGGCUAACUACGUGCCAGCCGCCGCCGUAA